Molecule: long non-coding RNA, 702 nt
Organism: Coregonus clupeaformis (lake whitefish)
Lineage: Eukaryota; Metazoa; Chordata; Actinopteri; Salmoniformes; Salmonidae
Exons: 5
Source: RefSeq, a predicted model, not a curated record
UCAAGAUGGCUGCUACCUACGUUGCGGUUAGCGGAAUACGUUGAUACACACCGAAAGCCGGGACUCCACAGAUCAUAAAGAUAUCUUAUUUGUCUGCCUGUGACCUACCGUUAUUGAUCACCAGCCCCGAGAAUAAAAAUGUUUAUUUUACACAACGCUUUCACCAAACAGCAAACAUCUUACAAGGUGAUGCGUGUGUUUCGAGCAGCAGUGUCUCUAAAUCUCAAUGGUCUUAUCAUCCCUUCUCCAUGUUGGACGGAACCGUUUCAACUCUUCAGAAGUCAAAACAUUAAAGCCUAAAGAUCCUCUGCUUGACGCAAUUGAGGGACGUGAAGUCUGAUUCUGUCCUCAACUUGUGGACCUGCUCUGAGGAUGUUGGACACCACUGUUGCACCUUCAGCCAUUAAUAUUUUCCUGUCAGUCGAUGGGCUGACUGACCUCAAGGCGCAGAAGGUGUUUUAAGGUAUAGAAGGAGGUCUGGUUAUCUAGUCUGGUGCAGUGGGUGUUCCAGGUCUGCAACACUUGACAAGAAAACUUCUUAAACAUGAUGGUCCUCUGCUUGCCAUACUAGAGGGACAUAAAGUCUGUUUCUGUUCUCAACUUGUGGACCUGCCCUGAGGAUGUUGGACACCACUGUUGCACUGUCACACCCUGGCUAUGGGACUCUAGUUGUUGAGCCAGGGUGUGUUUGUUCUAUGUGGU